GACGAACCGUGCGAACGUUAUUCGGAAUCACUGGGCUUAAAGGGCGCGUAGGCGGGCCGAAAAGCCAGGGGUGAAAUCCUCCAGCCCAACUGGAGAAGCGCCUUUGGAACUGGCGGCCUCGAGGGGUGCAGGGGCAUGCGGAACUCAGGGUGGAGCGGUGAAAUGCGUAGAUAUGACUUAGAACACCAAUUGCGAAGGCAGCUUGCUAAACAAAUAUUGACGCUGAGGCACGAAAGCGUGGGGAGCAAACAGG
Molecule: ribosomal RNA, 253 nt
Filed under: uncultured bacterium
Lineage: Bacteria
Description: partial 16S ribosomal RNA
Rfam family: Bacterial small subunit ribosomal RNA
Source: RNAcentral